AUGGUGUGGGCGAUAUGUUAUGUGUCGUACUCUAACGGCAUUUUAUUGAAUUACUAAAAACAACUGUCUAAAGAAACAGAAUACAUUAUCUAAGCGGUGUUUUUACUUAAAUAUCCUUUCGUAGAAACAAAUACUUCUUCAACAAUGCAUUCAUUGUAUACAUUACAUCUAACCGUGUUACGUCUCUACCAAAGGUUAAUUUUAAAAGAUGAUAAAAAUUUAUCUAUAUUACAACUGUCCAUCAUGUUGAUAUUCUAAGUGUCUGACUAAUAAUACGAAGCAGAAGACGUAAAUAAAUAAAAAGCACAUGAUCGAUGCAUGAACAGGACAGGACCGAUUAUGGAUUCCAAAUCCCUGCGAAUUAUAGUAUAAGAUAUUUUUAUAAAUAAUAAUUUGUGUUUCACUUUCAUUACAAUAUAAACAUACAUAGAUAAUGGAAUAAA
Frieseomelitta varia is the source of this 443-nucleotide long non-coding RNA. RefSeq lists it as uncharacterized. NCBI's taxonomy places the organism in Eukaryota, Metazoa, Arthropoda, Insecta, Hymenoptera, Apidae. The transcript has 3 exons. The record is from RefSeq and is a predicted model, not a curated record.